AAGUCGUAACAAGGUUUCCGUAGGUGAACCUGCGGAAGGAUCAUUAAUGAAAUUUAUGACUGGAGUUGUAGCUGGCCCUUAAAAACGGCAUGUGCACGCUCCUUUCACUAAUCCACACACACCUGUGCACCUUCGCGGGGGUCUUCUUUUGAAGGCUCGCGUCCCUUUACACACCCUUUGUAUGUCUUAAGAAUGUCUACUCGAUGUAAUAAAACGCAUCUAAUACAACUUUCAACAACGGAUCUCUUGGCUCUC
This 255-nucleotide unclassified non-coding RNA is filed under the name Stereum sanguinolentum. RNAcentral describes it as "partial internal transcribed spacer region". The stretch from base 1 to 46 matches the Rfam family "Eukaryotic small subunit ribosomal RNA", at positions 1786 to 1831 of the family's 1831-position model. Lineage: Eukaryota; Fungi; Basidiomycota; Agaricomycetes; Russulales; Stereaceae. The record is from RNAcentral.